CGCGUAGGCGGCCGAUCAAGUCGGGUGUGAAAGCCCGGGGCUCAACCCCGGAAUUGCACUCGAGACUGAUUGGCUUGAGGACGGGAGAGGAUGGUGGAAUUCCCAGUGUAGAGGUGAAAUUCGUAGAUAUUGGGAAGAACACCGGUGGCGAAGGCGGCCAUCUGGACCGUUUCUGACGCUGAGGCGCGAAAGCGUGGGGAGCAAACAGGAUUAGAUACCCUGGUAGUCCACGCCGUAAACGAUGAGUGCUAGACGUUGGGGGACCUAGUCCUUCGGUGUCGCAGCUAACGCAUUAAGCACUCCGCCUGGGGAGUACGGCCGCAAGGUUAAA
Molecule: ribosomal RNA, 331 nt
Filed under: uncultured bacterium
Lineage: Bacteria
Description: bacterial SSU rRNA
Rfam family: Bacterial small subunit ribosomal RNA
Source: RNAcentral